RNAcentral lists this ribosomal RNA (253 nucleotides) under uncultured bacterium. RNAcentral describes it as "partial 16S ribosomal RNA". It matches the Rfam family "Bacterial small subunit ribosomal RNA", at positions 524 to 776 of the family's 1533-position model. The record is from RNAcentral.
UACGGAGGGUGCUAGCGUUGUUCGGAAUUACUGGGCGUAAAGGGCGCGUAGGCGGCGUCAUAAGUCAGGCGUGAAAGGCCCGGGCUCAACCCGGGAACUGCGCUUGAUACUGCGGCGAUCGAGUCCGGGAGAGGAUGGCGGAAUUCCCAGUGUAGAGGUGAAAUUCAUAGAUAUUGGGAAGUACACCGGUGGCGAAGGCGGCCAUCUUGACCGGUACUGACGCUGAUGCGCGAAAGCGUGGGGAGCAAACAGG